RNAcentral lists this ribosomal RNA (694 nucleotides) under uncultured Staphylococcus sp. RNAcentral describes it as "bacterial SSU rRNA". It matches the Rfam family "Bacterial small subunit ribosomal RNA", at positions 64 to 740 of the family's 1533-position model. The record is from RNAcentral. Lineage: Bacteria; Bacillati; Bacillota; Bacilli; Caryophanales; Staphylococcaceae.
GAGCGAACGGACGAGAAGCUUGCUUCUCUGAUGUUAGCGGCGGACGGGUGAGUAACACGUGGAUAACCUACCUAUAAGACCGGGAUAACUUCGGGAAACCGGAGCUAAUACCGGAUAAUAUUUUGAACCGCAUGGUUCAAAAGUGAAAGACGGUCUUGCUGUCACUUAUAGAUGGAUCCGCGCUGCAUUAGCUAGUUGGUAAGGUAACGGCUUACCAAGGCAACGAUGCAUAGCCGACCUGAGAGGGUGAUCGGCCACACUGGAACUGAGACACGGUCCAGACUCCUACGGGAGGCAGCAGUAGGGAAUCUUCCGCAAUGGGCGAAAGCCUGACGGAGCAACGCCGCGUGAGUGAUGAAGGUCUUCGGAUCGUAAAACUCUGUUAUUAGGGAAGAACAUAUGUGUAAGUAACUGUGCACAUCUUGACGGUACCUAAUCAGAAAGCCACGGCUAACUACGUGCCAGCAGCCGCGGUAAUACGUAGGUGGCAAGCGUUAUCCGGAAUUAUUGGGCGUAAAGCGCGCAUAGGCGGUUUUUUAGGUCUGAUGUGAAAGCCCACGGCUCAACCGUGGAGGGUCAUUGGAAACUGGAAAACUUGAGUGCAGAAGAGGAAAGUGGAAUUCCAUGUGUAGCGGUGAAAUGCGCAGAGAUAUGGAGGAACACCAGUGGCGAAGGCGACUUUCUGGUCUGUAAC